GGCCUGCUAACUCAGUCGGUUAGAGCGUCGUGCUAAUAACGCGAAGGUCGUAGCUUAGAUCCCUGCGCAGGCCA
This 74-nucleotide transfer RNA is filed under the name Dermacentor andersoni. RNAcentral's name for it is "transfer RNA isoleucine (anticodon AAU)". It matches the Rfam family "tRNA". Rfam says of the family: Transfer RNA (tRNA) molecules are approximately 80 nucleotides in length. Their secondary structure includes four short double-helical elements and three loops (D, anti-codon, and T loops). The record is from RNAcentral. Lineage: Eukaryota; Metazoa; Arthropoda; Arachnida; Ixodida; Ixodidae.